GCCGCCAUCUCAAUGGCUAGAACGAGUGCCUCCUAAGCGUUAGAUACAGGUUCGAUUCCUGUUGGUGGUACCA
This 73-nucleotide transfer RNA is filed under the name Polaromonas sp. RNAcentral's name for it is "tRNA-Arg". It matches the Rfam family "tRNA". From Rfam's summary of the family: Transfer RNA (tRNA) molecules are approximately 80 nucleotides in length. Lineage: Bacteria; Pseudomonadati; Pseudomonadota; Betaproteobacteria; Burkholderiales; Comamonadaceae. The record is from RNAcentral.